GCUUGAUCAGCUUAGAUCUCCUGCAGUGAAGUCAAUUACUAACUUGAUGAUCAUUGUGGUGAUUAAGUGUCUUUCAGAAAUUGCGACUAAAAGGCCGGCUUUUUACGGUCGUAUUCUGCCAGUUCUACUUAGCCUGAGUCCUGCAAGAUCCGACGGCAAUAAGCUGCAUGUUUCUGGGGUAUACCGUGCUCUGAAGACAGCCUUCAUUUCUUGCUUGCAUUGUAAACACCCAGGAGCUGCACCGUGGCGGGAUCGACUAGAAGUUGCACUCCGAGAAAAGAGAGCAGGAGUUCAGGCAGGACCAGUUGUAAGCCAAGAUUCCCAGAAUAAUGGAGAUACAGAGUUGAAGGAUGUUUCCUCGAUCUUAGAGGAUUCAAAGCCUUCAAUUAAAUCAUCUUCUGGGACAAAGAGAUCAGGGGUGGAGCACAAUGCUGAACUGAUAGAUGAUAAUCUCUCUAAGAAGCGCAUGCGAUCGACACCUAUUGUCUCCAAGGCACCAAAGCAAGAGCCGAGUGGGAUCCAGGAGAGAGUUUCGGCUGGGGGUUCCACAACAACCAGAUCUGAUGGAGAUAAUGUUAAUUUGCAACCACUUGUUGCAAUGUUUGGUACUUUAGUUGCCCAGGGUGAAAAGGCUGCAGCGUCUUUAGAUAUUUUAAUCUCUAGUAUAUCAGCUGACUUGCUAGCAGAUGUUGUGAUGGCUAAUAUGAGAAAUCUACCUUCAAA
This 723-nucleotide unclassified non-coding RNA is filed under the name Hevea brasiliensis (rubber tree). The record is from RNAcentral. Lineage: Eukaryota; Viridiplantae; Streptophyta; Magnoliopsida; Malpighiales; Euphorbiaceae.